CCUACGGGUGGCUGCAGUCGAGAAUCAUUCACAAUGGGGGAAACCCUGAUGGUGCGACGCCGCGUGGGUGAAGAAGGGUUUCGGCUCGUAAAGCUCUGUUGGUAGUGAAGAAAGAUAGAGGUAGUAACUGGCCUUUAUUUGACGGUAAUUACUUAGAAAGUCACGGCUAACUACGUGCCAGCAGCCGCGGUAAUACGUAGGUGGCAAGCGUUGUCCGGAUUUAUUGGGCGUAAAGCGAGUGCAGGCGGUUCAAUAAGUCUGAUGUGAAAGCCUUCGGCUCAACCGGAGAAUUGCAUCAGAAACUGUUGAACUUGAGUGCAGAAGAGGAGAGUGGAACUCCAUGUGUAGCGGUGGAAUGCGUAGAUAUAUGGAAGAACACCAGUGGCGAAGGCGGCUCUCUGGUCUGCAACUGACGCUGAGGCUCGAAAGCAUGGGUAGCGAACAGGAUUAGAUACCCUUGUAGUC
This 465-nucleotide ribosomal RNA is filed under the name uncultured bacterium. RNAcentral's name for it is "partial 16S ribosomal RNA". It matches the Rfam family "Bacterial small subunit ribosomal RNA", at positions 338 to 795 of the family's 1533-position model. The record is from RNAcentral.